AGUGAACGCGGGCGGUAGGCCUAACACAUGCAAGUCGAACGGCAGCACAGUAAGAGCUUGCACUAACGGGUGGCGAGUGGCGGACGAGGGAGGAAUAAAUCGGAAUCUACCUUUUCGUGGGGGAGAACGUAGGGAAAAUUACGCUAAUAACGCAUACGACCUACGGGUGAGAGGUUGGGAUCUUCGGACCUUGCGCGAUACAAUGAGCCGAUGUCGGAUUAGCUAGGUGGCGGGGGAAAGGCCCGCGAAGGCGGCGAUCCGUAACUGGUCUGAGAGGAUGAUCAGCCACCCUGGAACUGAGACACGGUCCAGACUCCUACGGGAGGCAGCAGUGGGGAAUAUUGGACAAUGGGCGCAAGCCUGAUCCAGCCCUACCGCGUGGGUGAAGAAGGCCUUCUGGUUGUAAAGCCCUUUUGUUGGGAAAGAAAAGCAGCAGGUUAAUACCCCGCUGUUAUGACGGUACCCAAAGAAUAAGCACCGGCUAACUUCGUG
RNAcentral lists this ribosomal RNA (492 nucleotides) under uncultured bacterium. Its description in RNAcentral is "partial 16S ribosomal RNA". It matches the Rfam family "Bacterial small subunit ribosomal RNA", at positions 29 to 507 of the family's 1533-position model. The record is from RNAcentral.